ACCGCCCGCCCCGUCCCGCCAUGGCGGCGGGAGUCUGAGGGAGUGCCUCCCCUCAGCGCCGGCACCGGCCGGGCUGCGGUAGCCCAGCUGCAACCCCUUCAGCGGUCACCGUUUGUGUCGCUCGGUGCCGCAUUUCCACGGCUCUGUAACACCUCCAACGACCCCAGCACCUCCGUGGGCGGCCUGUGCUGUUGUAUCACUGCUCUUUUGGAGUUUUCCUCACACCCAACCUGACCCUCCCCUGGCACAACUUGAUGCCAUCACCUCUCAUCCUAUGCUGUUACCCGGGAGCAGAGGCCGAUCCCACCUCACCACAGCCUCCUUUCAUGCAGUGACAGAGAGCGAUGAGGUCUCCCCUGAGCCCCUCUUCUCCACACUGCCCCAUCCCAUCCCCUCAGCCGCCCCCAUCACGCUGUGCCCCACACCCCGCACAGCCCCAUGCUCGGGACAAUAACCCCAUAGAUCCUCACCCCAUUGACCAAAGGGCAUUGCCCCUACUUGCACCUCCCUCACACGGCUGCAGCCCAGCCUCCCUAGCCAAGGCGAUGCUGCUUUGCUUAUGGAAAACCCAUUUGCAGAGAUGCCUCCUCAGCAUGGGAACCAGAGCGGGCUCGUUUUGCUGUCAAGCUCACAUUUUUGGCUUGGAAGGGCCAGCUUUCCUCAUGCUGGCGAGCGGCAGCCAGCUGCAGAACUGGCCAGGGAGGAUCUGAUGAAACACCGUGCUGAGAAGCUCCAGCUCAUCACAAUCGAAACUGCAAGAAAGCACAGGGCUCACUGAAUGCCUUAUCAAGAGAAUUCCUGUGGCAUGUAUGUACACGCAUAGGGCUGUGUGUGAUCCCGUGCUAGCUGGCAGCCCGCUGCUAAGAAGGUGCAUUUGACACAGUAGAGAUGUCUUUUCUUCUUGGGGGAAAGCUACAUUGGUUUGAGCUUUUUGCAUUUGCAAAAGUAGAGGUUGGUUUUGUUGUUGGUUUUGGUUUUGUUUUUUUUUUUUCCACCCAGACGAGGUUUUACAGCUCAAGGCAGAAGCAAUAAAGCACAAAUGGGUUUCAGA
Gallus gallus (chicken) is the source of this 1051-nucleotide long non-coding RNA. RefSeq lists it as uncharacterized. NCBI's taxonomy places the organism in Eukaryota, Metazoa, Chordata, Aves, Galliformes, Phasianidae. The transcript has 2 exons. The record is from RefSeq and is a predicted model, not a curated record.